Molecule: ribosomal RNA, 387 nt
Filed under: uncultured bacterium
Lineage: Bacteria
Description: bacterial SSU rRNA
Rfam family: Bacterial small subunit ribosomal RNA
Source: RNAcentral
AUUGAACGCUGGCGGCAUGCUUUACACAUGCAAGUCGAACGGUAACAGGCCUUCGGGUGCUGACGAGUGGCGAACGGGUGAGUAAUGCAUCGGAACGUGCCCAAUCGUGGGGGAUAACGUAGCGAAAGUUACGCUAAUACCGCAUAAGCCCUGAGGGGGAAAGUGGGGGACCGCAAGGCCUCACGCGAAUGGAGCGGCCGAUGUCAGAUUAGCUAGUUGGUGGGGUAAAGCCCACCAAGGCGACGAUCUGUAGCGGGUCUGAGAGGAUGAUCCGCCACACUGGAACUGAGACACGGUCCAGACUCCUACGGGAGGCAGCAGUGGGGAAUUUUGGACAAUGGGCGCAAGCCUGAUCCAGCCAUGCCGCGUGAGUGAAGAAGGCCUCGG